Molecule: ribosomal RNA, 390 nt
Filed under: uncultured archaeon
Lineage: Archaea
Description: bacterial SSU rRNA
Rfam family: Archaeal small subunit ribosomal RNA
Source: RNAcentral
AUGUGGGAAACCACGAUGCGGGAAACCCAAGUGCCAGCACUAUGUGUUGGCUGUCCUCGACUGUUCGUAAGUCGGGAAGAAAGAGCUGGGUAAGACGGGUGCCAGCCGCCGCGGUAAUACCCGCAGCUCAAGUGGUGGUCAUUAUUAUUGGGCCUAAAGCGUCCGUAGCUGGCCUGUUAGAUGCCUGGGUAAAUCGAUGCGCUCAACGUAUCGAAUUCCGGGUAGACCGGCAGGCUCGAGACCGGGAGAGGUGUAGGCUACUCGAGGGGUAGGGGUAAAAUCCUGUAAUCCUUCGGGGAGGACCAGUGGCGAAGGCGCUACACUAGAACGGCUCUGACAGUGAGGGACGAAGCCCUGGGGCGCAAACCGGAUUAGAUACCCCCGUAGUCC